Orcinus orca (killer whale) is the source of this 2376-nucleotide long non-coding RNA. RefSeq lists it as uncharacterized. The transcript has 3 exons. The record is from RefSeq and is a predicted model, not a curated record. NCBI's taxonomy places the organism in Eukaryota, Metazoa, Chordata, Mammalia, Artiodactyla, Delphinidae.
CCAUAUGGCUAUUAAUAUACUGAAGUGAAUCUGUGUUUCUAGGUGGUUUUGGAGUAGACCUUCCUAUCCUGUCACUUAUGGGAUUGCAAAAUGAGGUGUUUUAAAAUGUUACCUAUUAUAUUCACUUCUCUGUACAACCAAAACAGGAAAAACUGGGUUCUGAGGUCAAUCUAAUACCGCAUUCAUCAAAACAACAUUAUUUUUCCUAUCUUUAUAAGUGAAUAUUAUCUACUAGAACUUAUACUUUUUAUAACAAUAUCAUUUAAAUUGUUUUAUAUAUUUUAUAGUUAUUAUAUAUAAGAUUUCAUUCCAAAAAAAGAUUUGGCUAGUUUUCAAGUUUGAAAAUCACCAAUCCCUGAUGAACUCUAAGUUCCCCUCUAGCUCUGACUUUCUACCAAUCUCCAAUUCUAAACCCUGAAUAAAUUCAUGGGGUCUUAAAGUUGUCAGUCCAUAUAAAAUUUUGAAGUUUCAUGCCUUUGCUUUUAUGCAUGUGGUUUUUUUCUUUAUAUAACCAGCUUUCUAUGCCAAUCCCAUUCUUCAGCACUUAGCUCAAGUGCAACCUCUUCUACGCAGAACACUUAACAUGGGUCUUGGACCUAAGCCUUGGUUUCUUCAUCUGCAAAAUGAGAAACUGCCCUCAAAUGUGGAAAAAAAGACUUUGGAGUCAGUGGAGAUGCAAUUCUACUAAACAGAAAGGGGGCCCCAGUCUGAUAUGGUUGAGACCACUCUCCCUGUCUGAGCUUCUUGAGUAAAUGAGAGAGAACCCCAACAUCACAGAGUUGAUGAGAAAAAGCACCAUACGUGUGCUCAGCGCACGGUAAUUCAAUUUCAGCUCCCUUUCUGGUCUACAUUUUCUCUCCCACACCUUGCUCAAGGGAUAACCCCAGCACCAGCAACCAGCUUGAUAAAUGAAGGAACAAAGCAUUUUCUGGUGAAAGCAAUCUCAUCCAGCGGCUAGGUGACACCAAGGCAAGCACCCAGGGAAUGCUAGGAGUUUUCAAUCCGGCUUCACAGCCUCUAUACAGAACAGAACCAGAGCUGCCUUUCCCAGCAGGGAAAGAACAGGGAUGUGCCUUGCUCCAUAUACGGGGAGGCCUGGGAGAACUGGCAUAGGGAGGAGACAGACCCACAGGACUACUGUGGGAUCAGAAACAGGUCUUAAUCCUGACUGCUCCUUAGAAUCACCUGGGGAACUUUUAAAGCAUUCCGAUACCAAGCUCCCAGCCCAGACAAACUAAAUCAUAACCUCUGGGGGCUGGGCCCAGGUAUUAGUUUUCAAAAGUUCCCCCAUGUGAUUCCAGCAAAGAGUGGAAAAUACCAGACAUAAACAAAGAGUGACCAGUUUAAUGCCCUCUGAGGUGUUUUUGUUAUCCCCAACUUUACAAAUAAGAAAUUAAGAUGUGACUUGUCCCAGACACACAGCCAGAAGAUGGAAAUUUGAAUACAGGCUGGGCUAAUGUGAAAACCCAUUUUUAAAGAGCCAUCUAGCGGUUUUAAUCCUUCAUCUUAUCCUUCCCACCUGCCUAUCCCUGUGACUUCAGAAACCCCUUUCUUGAAAUCUGCCCAGACCCCUUUUACCAUAAAUGUCCCUCUUGACCUUGGACCCCUCAAAUCCAUGCCCCUUCAACUCAAACUGGACAGUGGACUCAAAAGUGGGUAAGGACCAGGGUCAGUGGAAACACUCUUCGUAUGCACUGGGGCAUGCAAGAAUGCACUGGGGGCGCUCUUGCUUGCCCAGCACCAAAAUGGGUCAGUUUUGCUUAAAAGCCAUUCCUUGAGUGCUUACUGCAUACCAGUGUUAGCCUGCCACAUAACAGCUAAUGCUUACUGAGCAGUGUCACUCUGUGUUGAGUGCCAUAUAUGCAUCACAUCACUGUGUUCUCAAGAUAUUUUCAGGAGGUAAUUAUUUUCUAUUAUUACCCAUUUUAUGGAUGAGAAAAAUGGAAGUGUCAAAAAUUAUGCAGCUGGUCAUUGAGCUAUAAGUGAGGAAGCCAGGAUUCAAACCCUGGCUACUGGCUUCAAAGCCUGAAGGCCUUAACAUUAUACUCCUCCCUGAACUAGCACUUCAUUAGCUGUUGGGGCAAUCCUGUUCCAGCUCUGCCAUGGUGCCCCUGCGUGACCUUGGGCAAAUCCACCUUCUCAUCUCUAAACAUAGAACUGGGACUAUGGACUCUAAGGCCACUUCCAGUUAAGUGGUCUUGCAACUUGGGUUACACCAUUACAGCUCAAUCACUCCUGGGCUGUGACCUUGGACAACUUGUCCAGCCUUCUCUAUACUAGGAUGAGUACAUUCACCUUAUUACUGAUAUACCCUUUUAAAUUAUUUUCUUCUUGUCACCUGCUGUCAAGUCCAAAAAGUUGGCCCUGGUUCAGGAA